Molecule: unclassified non-coding RNA, 231 nt
Filed under: fungal sp.
Lineage: Eukaryota; Fungi
Description: partial internal transcribed spacer region
Rfam family: Eukaryotic small subunit ribosomal RNA (bases 1-48)
Source: RNAcentral
AAAAGUCGUAACAAGGUUUCCGUAGGUGAACCUGCGGAAGGAUCAAUAACGGAUCUCUGUGCUGUGGUGUGGGAGUGGGGGGCGUGAGCUCUCUAACUCUUGCACCACAUCAUAUAUUGACUCGGGCUCUCUCCUUGGGGGAGCCCCGAGACAUUCACGCUUGUCGGGUAUGACUGAGUAUAUUUGUGAUAUAAAUGAGACAACUUUUAACAAUGGAUCUCUUGGCUCUUG